This 397-nucleotide ribosomal RNA is filed under the name uncultured bacterium. Its description in RNAcentral is "partial 16S ribosomal RNA". It matches the Rfam family "Bacterial small subunit ribosomal RNA", at positions 523 to 918 of the family's 1533-position model. The record is from RNAcentral.
AUACGUAGGGGGCGAGCGUUGUCCGGAAUGAUUGGGCGUAAAGGGCGCGUAGGCGGCCCGGUAAGUCUGGAGUGAAAGUCCUGUUUUUAAGAUGGGAAUUGCUUUGGAUACUGCAGUGCUAGAGUGCGGAAGAGGUAAGUGGAAUUCCCAGUGUAGCGGUGAAAUGCGUAGAGAUUGGGAGGAACACCAGUGGCGAAGGCGACUUACUGGGCCGUAACUGACGCUGAGGCGCGAAAGCGUGGGGAGCGAACAGGAUUAGAUACCCUGGUAGUCCACGCGGUAAACGAUGAAUGCUAGGUGUUGCGGGUAUCGACCCCUGCAGUGCCGGAGUAAACACAAUAAGCAUUCCGCCUGGGGAGUACGGCCGCAAGGUUGAAACUCAAAUGAAUUGACGGGG